Long non-coding RNA from Pseudopipra pipra, 338 nucleotides. RefSeq lists it as uncharacterized. The transcript is spliced from 2 exons. The record is from RefSeq and is a predicted model, not a curated record. NCBI's taxonomy places the organism in Eukaryota, Metazoa, Chordata, Aves, Passeriformes, Pipridae.
CCUAAAUCUGAAUCAAUUCAUCCUAAAUCUGAGUUGGUUCAUCCUAAAUCUGAAUCAGCUGAGCAGUCCAUCCUAAAUCUGAGCAGUCCGUCCUAAACCUGACCCAUCCAUCCUAAACCUGACCCAGUUUGGAGCAGUCCAUCCCAAACCCUGUUGGCCCUUCCCUUGGUGGAGCUUUUCUAUUUCUAUUUCUGCCCCCACACAACAUUCAAGGGAUUUUUUGGGGGGUUUUGCUGUUCCCUGGAACGAAACAAAUGUGACCUUUCAGCCCCUCUUUGCUGCUGAUCUUUAACAGAAGUGAAAACAAGAACUAGAAAUGCCUUUUAUUAAAAUGUCUU